AUGUACCAUGCUUCCCCCCCUGAGAUGUGGCCCAGAGCUAGGGGUUCAGCACCAGCCACUCCUGUCCCACGGGGCUCCCCUGCGCCCAUUGCCUCAGGCAGGGAAAAUCCAAUUUUUGCAAUAAUUACUGCAUUUCUCAUGCUUUGGGUGGUUUCCGUCCCAGUGAGCUAUCCAGCCCCCAGGACCCGGGGCAGUCCGUGGGGUGACUGCUCCAUCCGAUGUUUUGUGCAGUUUCCAGCCACCAGCGUCCUGUGGCUCGCUCUUGGUCGAAUUCGGCAUUGUGCCGGUGAUUGGGACCGUGGGGCAGAUCCUUUGCGCUCCCUCCUUGAUUUCACCUCGAAUUGCACCCGUGGCGGGACCCCCCAUGUCCCCCCACACACACAGGGCCAGCACUGCCCGGGUGGGCUCUGCCCCUGCCAGCAGUCGGGGAGGGAAGGAUCUGUCCCUGCGGAAGGAGAGGGCGCAGGCAGAGUGACGAGGUGGGAAGGGACACGGCGGCGUCACAGCUGGGGGGCCGCAGCCAGGCUGCCCCUCGGUGUGGCCCCGAGGGAUCCUGACUCAGAAAAAAGGCGUCUUUGGGGUCCUGUUUUACUUCCCCAGCAUCUGGUCCUGCUUUUUGGUGGUCCUGGAGGAAGGAGGCAACUGCAGUGCAUUGCAGGGAAGCCGGAGCAGCUCACCUCUGUUUUGGGCAGCCGGGAUCUUCUGGGUUUCUCCUCUCUGGCCCCGGCCCUGGGGUGGGGGCUCACCGAGGAUGGGGGAGCACCCAGGACACCGCCACCGGUGUCUCCCCUUGCUCCAGGCCACCUUGAACCCCCCUGUGCCUUGUCCCCGUGUCCGUCUGCUGGGCUGGACCGGCUCUGCCUUCCCCAGGGGAGUUGGGGGACUGCUGGGCACCAGGCGAGGGCCAGGGGGGCACCUCCAGGCAGGAGGCCCAGCGCCUGCUCUGCCUGCCGGGCACUGCCCUGGCCCCAGCCCAGUGCCGUUUGCGUUCUUUCUUUCUAA
This 1002-nucleotide long non-coding RNA is filed under the name Anser cygnoides (Swan goose). Its description in RNAcentral is "lncRNA (ENSACDG00005014188.1)". The record is from RNAcentral. Lineage: Eukaryota; Metazoa; Chordata; Aves; Anseriformes; Anatidae.